GACAUGCUAGUCGCGUGCUUCAGCCAAAACGAGGCACGGCAAACAGCUCAGUAACACGUGGCUAAUCUGCCCUUAGGACGCGAACAACCCCGGGAAACUGGGGCUAAUUCUCGAUAGGUGAAGAACUCUGGAAUGAGUCUUUGCCUAAAAGAGCUUACGUUAUGCUCGUAAGUUUCGCCUAAGGAUGAGGCCGCGACCGAUCAGGUUGUUGGUGAGGUAAUGGCUCACCAAGCCUUUUACCGGUGCGGGCCGUGAGAGCGGGAGCCCGGAGAUGGGCACUGAGACAAGGGCCCAGGCCCUACGGGGCGCAGCAGUCGCGAAAACUUUGCAAUACACGAAAGUGUGACAGGGCUAUCCCGAGUGCCAUCCGCUGAGGAAGGCUUUUACCCAGUCUAGAACGCUGGGGGAAUAAGGAGAGGGCAAGUCUGGUGUCAGCCGCCGCGGUAAUACCAGCUCUCCGAGUGGUGUGGAUGUUUAUUGGGCCUAAAGCAUCCGUAGCUGGCUAGGUAAGUCCCCUGUUAAAUCCACCGAAUUAAUCGUUGGAUCGCGGGGGAUACUGCUUGGCUAGGGGACGAGAGAGGCAGACGGUAUUUUUGGGGUAGGGGUGAAAUCCUAUAAUCCCAGGAAGACCACCAGUGGCGAAGGCUGUCUGCUAGAACGCGCCCGACGGUGAGGGAUGAAAGCUGGGGGAGCGAACCGGAUUAGAUACCCGGGUAGUCCCAGCUGUAAACGAUGCAGACUAGGUGUUUGGACGGCCACGUGCCGUUCUAGUGCCGCAGGAAAGCUGUUAAGUCUGCCGCCUGGGGAGUACGAUCGCAAGAUUGAAACUUAA
This 832-nucleotide ribosomal RNA is filed under the name uncultured crenarchaeote. Its description in RNAcentral is "bacterial SSU rRNA". It matches the Rfam family "Archaeal small subunit ribosomal RNA", at positions 48 to 859 of the family's 1478-position model. The record is from RNAcentral. Lineage: Archaea; Thermoproteati; Thermoproteota.